This 465-nucleotide ribosomal RNA is filed under the name uncultured bacterium. Its description in RNAcentral is "SSU rRNA". It matches the Rfam family "Bacterial small subunit ribosomal RNA", at positions 26 to 518 of the family's 1533-position model. The record is from RNAcentral.
AGAAUCAACGCUGGCGGCGUGCCUAACACAUGCAAGUCGAUCGAGAAAGUGGAGCAAUCCAUGAGUAAAGAGGCGCACGGGUGAGUAACACGUGACUAACCUACCUUCGAGUGGGGAAUAACCUGGGGAAACCCGGGCUAAUACCGCAUAAUACCUACGGGUCAAAGGAGCAAUUCGCUUGAAGAGGGGGUCGCGGCAGAUUAGUUAGUUGGCGGGGUAAUGGCCCACCAAGACGAUGAUCUGUAUCCGGCCUGAGAGGGCGCACGGACACACUGGAACUGAAACACGGUCCAGACUCCUACGGGAGGCAGCAGUGGGGAAUUUUGCGCAAUGGGGGAAACCCUGACGCAGCGACGCCGCGUGAGGGAUGAAGGCCUUCGGGUUGUAAACCUCUUUCAGCAGGGACGAAGCGAAAGUGACGGUACCUGCAGAAGAAGCACCGGCCAACUACGUGCCAGCAGCCGC